Picea glauca (white spruce) is the source of this 137-nucleotide non-coding RNA. NCBI's taxonomy places the organism in Eukaryota, Viridiplantae, Streptophyta, Pinopsida, Pinales, Pinaceae. The record is from Rfam.
AUAUCUGGACAACAGAUAUUUCGACUCUUGUCACGAUGAAGAAUGUAGCGAAAUGCAAUACUUAGUGUGAAUUGCAGAAUCUCAUGAAUCAUCAAGUUUUUGAAUAAUGACCUUCAUUAAAAACUGGUGUAUUUUUU